Molecule: long non-coding RNA, 1018 nt
Organism: Belonocnema kinseyi
Lineage: Eukaryota; Metazoa; Arthropoda; Insecta; Hymenoptera; Cynipidae
Exons: 4
Source: RefSeq, a predicted model, not a curated record
AUUUUUCGUCUUAAAUUUGUAUAAUUUUGAAUUAAUUCGUUUAUUUUCUCUAAUUUUAAUUCAUGCAACAUAUUCAAAUAAUAUACACGUUUACGUGCAUGAACACAUGGAUACACUUUAGUUUGCCACCUCCUUGUAGAUUGCCCUAGUGUCGCUAUAAGUUGUCAAACGCGCCCAUGGGAGUCGACCCAGCCUGGGACCGAUAGGUUAACGGAACGUAGCCAGCACGCACCGCAGCAGUGCGAAAGAUCGCACGCGAUUGGUUAGCGGUCUGUGUGUGUGCACGGACAGAUCGUGCGUGAGCCGUUUCCAGCAUACUGCACACGUCUUUUCUUGUGCAAACGCCUUGACGGUUGAUUGACUGUCAACCUACUGCUUUGCAAACAUCGCCAAUUGUUCGACAUCGCUCUGGUUGUACUGCCGGAACCUCUUCGAAGAGGAAUCGAGCAGCUUCAACUCAAUGGCCCUUUCAGGAACACACUGCCGCCCAUACGGGCAACCAUCCGGUCACCCGCUCUGCGCUACGGUCAGGCGACCUACGAUCUACAAGUGGGAUGAUGCGUAUGAAGCCUAAGUAUCCUGAAUUGGAUGCCGUCUAUGAUAAAUUUGACAAGGCUCUUUCGUAUGAGAUAGCGCAAAGGUGUGUCCAGACAAUGCUACUGGCAAAGUAUUGAAUUAUUUGACGUCUGCAGAAGGCCAAUGCGACGACUGUUACGAAAAGGCCCCUCCAAACGAGAAUGCUGUGGUUUUUGGUGAAAUGCGUUUGACCUCAGAUUCCCACUCCAGUUUUACCGUGCACGAUGCGAAAAAAUGCUGCAAGAAUGUUAUUAAUAAAUUCGAAAAAAAGGCAAAAUCACAACUGGCCGUUUCUAAGGCAUGCGUUGAACAUUGUGUAAAACAAGGUCAUUGCGACGAUAUCAAACCUGAACUCUAAAAUUCUACCUGAAGGUGGAAUGACUGCAGCAUAAAAUUGCGAAUUUAUUUUAAUGUUUUGCAUUUGCAUGCCUACAAUUCUACC